AUGAACUUUAAUAUUAAGGUAUUCUUACGACAAAUGUACUUGUAUAAUUUUUGUUUGGAGUGUAUGAGCAACCAGAAGGGGAGCCUUGGCGCAGUGGUAAAGCUGCUGCCUUGUGACCAUGAGGUCACGGGUUCAAGUCCUGGAAACAGCCUCUUACAGAAAUGUAGGGAAAGGCUGCGUACUAUAGACCCAAAGUGGUCGGACCCUUCCCCGACCCUGCGCAAGUGGGAGCUACAUGCACCGGGCUGCCCAGUGUAUGAGCAACCAAAAUAUUAUUAUUGGACCAAUAGUUACAGACAAAGGGGAUUAUUAUGUUUGAAUGAGGAGCUGUAUCAAUCUGCUGAUCUGCAUGAUAUGUCUCAAGUAUCAAUUUGUUAUUGCCAAUUUAACUGCUCCAAUUUUUUUGUUGAUAUGUUAUGA
Molecule: ribosomal RNA, 420 nt
Filed under: Triticum aestivum (bread wheat)
Lineage: Eukaryota; Viridiplantae; Streptophyta; Magnoliopsida; Poales; Poaceae
Description: partial small subunit ribosomal RNA
Source: RNAcentral